This 484-nucleotide ribosomal RNA is filed under the name uncultured bacterium. RNAcentral's name for it is "partial 16S ribosomal RNA". It matches the Rfam family "Bacterial small subunit ribosomal RNA", at positions 28 to 523 of the family's 1533-position model. The record is from RNAcentral.
GACGAACGCUGGCGGCGUGCUUAACACAUGCAAGUCGAACGAUGAAGCUGGAGCUUGCUCUGGCGGAUUAGUGGCGAACGGGUGAGUAACACGUGAGAAAUCUGCCCUUGACUCUGGGAUAACUGCGGGAAACUGUAGCUAAUACCGGAUACUUUCCCUGGUGGGCAUCCACUGGGGAAGAAAGAAUUUCGGUCAAGGAUGAUCUCGCGGCCUAUCAGCUUGUUGGUGAGGUAAUGGCUCACCAAGGCGACGACGGGUAGCCGGCCUGAGAGGGUGACCGGCCACACUGGGACUGAGAAACGGCCCAGACUCCUACGGGGGGCAGCAGUGGGGAAUAUUGCACAAUGGGCGCAAGACUGAUGCAGCAACGCCGCGUGAGGGAUGAAGGCCUUCGGGUUGUAAACCUCUUUUAGCAGGGAAGAAGCGAAAGUGACGGUACCUGCAGAAAAAGCACCGGCUAACUACGUGCCAGCAGCCGCGGUAA